AGGUGGGGAGCUCUUCAGGACUGGUAGGUUUGGUUUCUCGGAGAGUACGGCAGCCUUCCUAUGCAAUGCGACUGAUUGUUGGGUGGGAAUGUUCCAGCUUGUGUGUCUUAGGCAAUGUAGCCUGUGUAGUGUCUGUUGUGUGGCCUGGGCAGAUUUUGCUGUGGUGCUGUGAGUGAAGAAUCUGAGUUAGAGCUGGUGAGCAGCUGAAGUACCGGAGCUGGGAAGAGAGAGGUCUUGCAGCAGGUACACUGUGGCUGUGAGGUGCCUCAGAGUGUGCUUUUCCCUUUUCUCUGCAGGUGCUUUGUGCAGUCGUGGACAGGGAAGGGAUAUCUUCCUGUGAUGGAGCUCUGAGGGAAGGUGGCGUGGGUGAUGUUGGCCGCUCCUUUCAAGCUUGGACGUAAUUUUCAGGCUGAAACGCAGUGCGCAGUGCAGGACCUCUCGACCCAAGCUGCCUCUGCAGUGACUCUGGUGCUUGAUGAGCAGAGGU
Molecule: long non-coding RNA, 487 nt
Organism: Anas platyrhynchos (mallard)
Lineage: Eukaryota; Metazoa; Chordata; Aves; Anseriformes; Anatidae
Source: RefSeq, a predicted model, not a curated record